Molecule: ribosomal RNA, 253 nt
Filed under: uncultured bacterium
Lineage: Bacteria
Description: partial 16S ribosomal RNA
Rfam family: Bacterial small subunit ribosomal RNA
Source: RNAcentral
UACGUAGGGUGCGAGCGUUAAUCGGAAUUACUGGGCGUAAAGCGUGCGCAGGCGGUGAUGUAAGACCGAUGUGAAAUCCCCGGGCUUAACCUGGGAACUGCAUUGGUGACUGCAUUGCUGGAGUAUGGCAGAGGGGGGUGGAAUUCCACGUGUAGCAGUGAAAUGCGUAGAGAUGUGGAGGAACCCCAGAGGCGAAGGCGGCGCCCUGGCUCGCAACUGACGCUCAGACACGACAGCAUGGGGAGCGAACGGG